UAUGUUGGUCAUCCGAAUCCAUUGAAAGAAGGCUAGGAACUCUUUCGUAAAGGGCUUCUAAGUGAAGCUGUGCUGGCUUUAGAGGCUGAGGUUCUGAAGAAUCCAGACAAUGCUGAAGGUUGGAGGUUGCUUGGAAUAACAAAUGCUAAAAAUGAUGAUGAUCAAUGGGCUAUUGCAUCAAUGAUGUAGGCACAUGAAGCAGACCCAACAAACCUGGAAGUGCUUCUUGCUCUUGGUGUGAGUCACACUAAUGAGUUGGAGCGAUCAACAACAUUGAAGUAUCUUUAUAGUUGGCUUCAGCAUCACUCAAAGUAUAGGGCACUUGCACCGCCAGAGCAGCCUGUUUCUCUAU
Long non-coding RNA from Magnolia sinica, 352 nucleotides. RefSeq lists it as uncharacterized. The transcript is spliced from 3 exons. Lineage: Eukaryota; Viridiplantae; Streptophyta; Magnoliopsida; Magnoliales; Magnoliaceae. The record is from RefSeq and is a predicted model, not a curated record.